Molecule: long non-coding RNA, 3382 nt
Filed under: Sus scrofa (pig)
Lineage: Eukaryota; Metazoa; Chordata; Mammalia; Artiodactyla; Suidae
Description: lncRNA (ENSSSCG00000059387.1)
Source: RNAcentral
CUAGAGAGGAGAGCCUGGCCCUUCUGCCAGCUCCCUCCAGUCUGAGGAAGAAGAUGGUUUCUCUGUCUUUUUUGUCUUUUUAGGGCUACACCUGCUGCAUAUGGAAGUUCUCAGGCUAGGGGUCGAAUCAGAGCUACAGCUGGUGGCCUUCACCAAAGCCACAGCAAAGCAGGAUCCAAGCCUCGUUGGGACCUAAACCACAGCUCAUGACAAUGCUGGCUCCUUAACCCACUGAUUAAGGCCAGGGAUCGAACCCGGGUCCUUAUGGAUACUAGUCAGAUUCGUUUCUGCUCAGCCAUGGAAGUUGUUACUGCUGAGCCAUGACAGGAACUCCUGAAUAUACCUAAUUUUACACAUGAGUAUAUUAAGGCAAAUCUAUUUCUUUCUAAAUUUGUUUAUUGAGGCAAGUUUUUUAGUUGUAAGAUCUGUUUAUUGAAAAAUAUUAUUGAUGCAAAUAUCCAUCAGUAGUCUGAAUCGAGUUAGACAACUCACCAUAAACUAAAUCCAUUAUGCUAAAAAGAGCAAUUUUGAAUUAAAAUUGUAGAGCCACUUAAACUCUACCUCUGCAUUUAGGAAAUGUCAACUAUUGGUGGUAGAAUUUUAAAUACUAUCAACCGCUGGGGUCUUCUGAGAGGGGCUGAGUGCGCUGUGCAUGUGGAAGGGAUGUGGAUGAUGGCAGCCAGGGGACAGAUGGUAGCGUGCCAUUCCAUGAGGAAGCACAAACUAGUCAUAAGCAGAGACUGUGUAAAGAGAUGCUAACCAGUCCCCAAAUAGCCAGAGCUGGAUAAUUUGAUCCUUGAUCGCAAAGAAGGAAAAAGUCAAAUUCCCUGCUGAAUUUCAACUAAACAAACAAAGGAACAAACCCUCAGGAAUGGUGAUGAGAAACAGCUCAAGUUUUAGGAAUUCAUUCUAGAAAGCAAAAGAUGUUGGUUUAUUUGAUUUUUAGGACAACACAUGUGGCAUAUGGAGAUUCCCAGGCUAGGGGUCAAAUGAAUACUAGUCAGUUCAUUACCACUGAGCCACAACGGAACCCUGAUGUUGGUUAAUUUAAUGUACAUCAUUGGUAAUUGAAAGUUAUCUGGCUGCCUUCCACUCUAAUUUAUGAGAUAUAAUUUUCUAGCCAACAUUUAUUUAAUUGAUAGGACAUUUUACUUGUUCCCAUAAAAUGAGCUAGAUUUUUAAAAAAUCAGCAAAAAAAAAAAAAAAAAAAAAAAAAAAAAAAGUAAAGGAGAGUUCCCGUUAUGACGCAGCAGAAACAAAUCCAACUAGGAACCAUGAGGUUGUAGGUCCGAUCCCUGGCCUUGCUCAGUGGGUUAAGUAUCUGGCAUUGCCAUGAGCUGUGAUGUAGGUCGCAGAUGUGGCUCAGAUCUGGCAUUGCUGCAGCUGUGGCAUAGGCCGGCAGCUGUGGCUCCAAUUAGACCCCUAGUCUGGGAACCUCCAUAUGCUGUGGGUGUGGCCAUUAAAAAAAAAAAAUCUGGUUAGGACAAAUUAGGAUAACCAAAAAGAACAACAAUAUUACCAAAAGCAAAUACAUACUAGGAAUAAAAUUUGAACUACUAUUUUCAGAGCUUUAUCAGUUACUAUAAGCUUUUCUCUGAGUGGAAAUAUUAGUCAAUAGAAAUUAUUUUUUGAAUAAAAAAUAGCUUUAAAAUAUAACUGGCUAAAUUUAUCUAAAGAAAGUUAGGACUUGAUAGUUUUGAAAACUCAUAUCUCUAUCAUUUGAUUUGCCAAAUGCCAAAACAUAGUCAUGAGAUAUAAUUUCCAAUACUUUUAUUCCAUCAUAUCUAAAAAUAACACCAAACCCGCCCCCCUCCACCACUCAUGGCAUAUGGAAGUUCCAGGCCAGGGAUCUAAUCCCAGCCACAGUUGCAGUCUACCCCAUAACUAUGGCAGCACUAGAUCCUUAACCCACUGCACCACAGUGGGAACUCCAAAAAAUAGCACCAACUCUAACCUUGACUGAGGUAGUAAGGAACAAUAAAAACGUUGGGUUCUAUACUUUUGAUACAAAAAAGAUAGAGCUCUGAGCUGACUUGUGAGCAUAAAAUAGGCAUUAACAUACAGGAGGCAUUAGGUGUCACUGCUGCUAUAAUUCAGUGAUUCAAAAACCUGGUGUUUGACUAAACUUCUAGAUGGUUAAUGAGAUUUCCUUCUGAAAGCCUUUGGAAUCUUGGCGCAUUUCAUCAUAUUUAAUGGGUGUUGUUUUUGUUUGUAAUUUUACCAUAAAGUCAGGAUGUGACUUGACUUGUUUUAGUUAAAGGCUGAGAAAUAACAGGUGCCGGGGAAUGCCAAAUAUCACACCUGGACAAGAUGAGCUGACGACAGCCUUAUAAAGUUGGUACAUCACUCAGCUCAAGCAGUAGAGACUUGAUGUGGAGAAGAUGGGGUGGAGAGGUGGGGGGUUCUCCCCCCCACCAUCCCACAGCUGUGGUGGUGGAUGCUUCACCCCAACCUUAAGCCGAGGGGUGAAGGGCUUCUGCAGAACUAAGUGGAGAGCUUGGUGCAAGUAUAAAUGGACCGAGACUGUGUUGCUGGAUCAGCCUGAGCGGCAGCGUGGAAGAAAAGUACAGCUUCCUCCUACCACCUGAGGGCACAGGUGCGCCUUCCUCCGUGAUGUGGGGCAGGGCCGUGUCAUUGACGAAAGGGGUGUUGUCUGGGGCAGGCCUGCUGCAGCUCAGCAGCACAAAACCUGGGGAGGAUCUUCAUCCGUUAGAAGAGGAUGAAAAUGACCAUCCAGCCACAUCAAUGUCCUCUUCUUCAGAAUUCAGUCCGAGGUACCCAGAGGGGAUUCUCUAAAAAAGCAUGGAAGCGCCUUCUUCCCCCGCAAACUCCUCAGCCGCAGGACCCCACACGUCUGAGAGCGCCCACACACGGGAGCUUGGAGCCGGACCAAGCUCCACCUCCUUUCCCAGGUGGACCAGGCCAGCCUCUCAGGGUGUCAGGUGGGGCCCCAGCAGGAGAGCAAAAUGGGAUGGGGGAUCGCAAGGGCGUUAACUGCUUUUUGUAUUUUCUGCGUUUCUUAUACCCUGACAAGUGGAGCCUUGCUGACCUUAAAGAGACUGCCCAUCCAGGAACUGGCUGUUGACCUUAGUGAUUGCCCGCUCCCAGAAGUAGCCUUUCCUGUGCAAAUCUGCCUGCUCAGAGCCGGCAGCCCACCAUCUCCUUCACAGAUUCACACAUGCUGAGCCUCAUCCCCCUGGUUCAGGUACCCUUAUACCCAGAGCCCUGCAGGUAUCAAACUAGAUGAUCCUAAGCCCAUUCGCCCACCUUGCCUGCCACCACAGAAAACACAAUAAAGGUGCUUGUGCCAUUUCCCCCAACCCUUCUGCCUCCCAGUGGACCCAGGUGCCCCCGCCCAAGUGGCUCUGUGCAUCCCAUCACA